GGUAAAUAUAUUUCAAUGGUAGAAAAGAUGCUUGUGGUGCAUUCAAUAUGAGUUCAAUUCUCAUUAUUUACC
Molecule: transfer RNA, 72 nt
Filed under: Eremothecium gossypii ATCC 10895
Lineage: Eukaryota; Fungi; Ascomycota; Saccharomycetes; Saccharomycetales; Saccharomycetaceae
Also listed under: 1 other name
Description: tRNA-His
Rfam family: tRNA
About the family: Transfer RNA (tRNA) molecules are approximately 80 nucleotides in length.
Source: RNAcentral